RNAcentral lists this ribosomal RNA (422 nucleotides) under uncultured bacterium. RNAcentral describes it as "bacterial SSU rRNA". It matches the Rfam family "Bacterial small subunit ribosomal RNA", at positions 361 to 776 of the family's 1533-position model. The record is from RNAcentral.
AUCUUCCGCAAUGGGCGCAAGCCUGACGGAGCAACGCCGCGUGAGUGAAGAAGGUUUUCGGAUCGUAAAGCUCUGUUGCCAAGGAAGAACGGCAGAGGGAGUAACUGCCCUAUGUUUGACGGUACUUGAGAAGAAAGCCACGGCUAACUACGUGCCAGCAGCCGCGGUAAUACGUAGGGGGCAAGCGUUGUCCGGAAUUAUUGGGCGUAAAGCGCGCGCAGGCGGCUGUUUAAGUCUGGUGUUUAAGCCCGAGGCUCAACCUCGGUUCGCACCGGAAACUGGAUGGCUUGAGUGCAGGAGAGGGAAGUGGAAUUCCACGUGUAGCGGUGAAAUGCGUAGAGAUGUGGAGGAACACCAGUGGCGAAGGCGACUUUCUGGCCUGUAACUGACGCUGAGGCGCGAAAGCGUGGGGAGCAAACAGG